GUAUAGAUAAGUUAAAAUACAAAACUACUAGACUCAUACCCUAGCAAUAGCAGAUUAAAACUCUCUUCUAUACU
RNAcentral lists this transfer RNA (74 nucleotides) under Dielis tejensis. Its description in RNAcentral is "tRNA-Met". Lineage: Eukaryota; Metazoa; Arthropoda; Insecta; Hymenoptera; Scoliidae. The record is from RNAcentral.